RNAcentral lists this unclassified non-coding RNA (239 nucleotides) under Hevea brasiliensis (rubber tree). The record is from RNAcentral. Lineage: Eukaryota; Viridiplantae; Streptophyta; Magnoliopsida; Malpighiales; Euphorbiaceae.
GUCAUUACAGAGGAUCCAAACCUUGUAGCGGUAAUCUUCAGGCAUUGCAGUUGCUUCUAUCUCCUCAUCUAAUCUCUGCCAGGUUCUUGACAUGUCAAUUACCGACUUGGAGCAUAUGGGGCAUGUGUAUCUUUGGGCAUGCUUCAACAUCUCCCGGAAACACUCCUUAUGUAUUGUGUGCCCACAUUUCAGUACACUGGUGUCUUUCAGAGAAUCGAAAAGAUACUCAUAACAGAUGG